RNAcentral lists this ribosomal RNA (253 nucleotides) under uncultured bacterium. RNAcentral's name for it is "partial 16S ribosomal RNA". It matches the Rfam family "Bacterial small subunit ribosomal RNA", at positions 524 to 776 of the family's 1533-position model. The record is from RNAcentral.
UACAGAGGGCUCAAGCGUUGUUCGGAAUCAUUGGGCGUAAAGGGUGCGUAGGCGGCGCGGUAAGUCGGGUGUGAAAUCUCGGAGCUUAACUCCGAAACUGCAUUCGAUACUGCCGUGCUUGAGGACUGGAGAGGAGACUGGAAUUUACGGUGUAGCGGUGAAAUGCGUAGAUAUCGUAAGGAAGACCAGUGGCGAAGGCGGGUCUCUGGACAGUUCCUGACGCUGAGGCACGAAGGUCAGGGGAGCAAACGGG